UUUUCUUUUUUUUUUUUUUUGUUUUCUAGACUUUUGUCUGCCUUAAAAAUUAUCCAGUAGUAGUUAUGAUUCAUUUCAUUGUUGGUAUAUAUCGAAAUUGAACAGAUAAGCACUUUUGAGUUCCAUACCUUGGUUCAUUGAAAGGGGAUUGUUCGAACUUGGGGGGACAAAGACUUUUAACAUACCUCAGUCUUCAAUUAUUUUGCAGCUUCUAUGUUAAAUUAGUUUAUCUAGUUUUGCACAUGGACAUGGACAUUGCUUUAAUUACCCUACUGCUAUAAUAGUUUGCACAUAGAGAUGGUUUCUCAACAUAACGACAAUUAAGAUCUUCCAUAGUCUAUUAAUUUUAAAAAUGAGAGUUAUAGGGAAUUUUUCAAUAUUUUUUACACAACAAAUUGGGCAUUGGGCACAGCCGGAAAAUUUCUAGUCUAUAAAUAUAUAGCGACGUGGUUGGGGUUUUGGCAGGAUUUCCUAAUUCUUAGUCCUGAAUCAUAAUCUACUGUCUGUCUACUGUCUCUCACACACGCAAGACCUACGAAGAAGAAGAAGAGGAAGAAGGGGCAAGACCUACGAAGAAGAAGAAGAAGAAGAAGAAGAAGAAGAAGAAGAAGAAGAAGAAGAAGAAAGUAAAAGGGAGUUGGGAAGAUGAGAGGAGUUCAAUUGUCA
Molecule: long non-coding RNA, 666 nt
Filed under: Coffea arabica (coffee)
Lineage: Eukaryota; Viridiplantae; Streptophyta; Magnoliopsida; Gentianales; Rubiaceae
Description: long non-coding RNA (CARA_LNC002974)
Source: RNAcentral